RNAcentral lists this long non-coding RNA (1393 nucleotides) under Cairina moschata (Muscovy duck). Its description in RNAcentral is "domestica (muscovy Duck (domestic type)) lncRNA (ENSCMMG00000008613.1)". The record is from RNAcentral. Lineage: Eukaryota; Metazoa; Chordata; Aves; Anseriformes; Anatidae.
CUUGCCUAGAACGUAAUCUGCAACACCCACCACGGAGCUGGUCCCAAGGCAAAGAGGCAGUGGCUCACCACGUGCCAUCCUUUCUCUUAAGAUCCCAUUUCCUUCUGCGUGGCCCCAGUUGCAGGGCCAGCAGGAUGGGUUCCCCCACUGCGCCACGCUGGUUGGACGUAAUCGCUGUAAUGCCACUGAGCAACACGUGGCAAACAGCUUUAUCACCAAGGGCAGCCAGCAAGCCGGGAUGGAUGAAUGGGAAGCAGCUUCCAGCAGGAAUGCUCCUCCGUAUUUUAAGUUAGUCUUUAUUGGAGAGUUGGGAAAGAAGAGAUUGUUGGUUUUUUUUUUCUGUGUGAUUCAUUGUAGCUGGUGCUAUCUCUCGCGGCAGAGUGGCACCAGAUAGCUGGUGUAAAAGGUUGUCCUCAGGGAUAUCCUAUUAAUUUCUUAAUCAUUGAAAAGGCCAAAGAUAGCUUCAGAGUCCAGCAUCUCUAGGCAGCUGAUCUGAAGCAAAACUGGAGAGGACAACCCCAUAUCCUGAGAGCCCUCACCCAGCCCCAUUUGACCACAUCACAGCUGAGUUUGUGGUCGGCAAGAAACCCCAUCUUGUGUCCCUGCAGAGCUCAGGCAUGCCUUCAGACAAGUGCUCUACUCGUGCUCUAUCUAUCCUACAUGCUCUUUUUCUGAGCACCUCCUGGACCUUGCUACGUUUAUCCUCUUAGCACCUCUGUAAUUAUCUCUCUUGUAACAGAUGAGAAACAGAAGAACAUGGAGAUUUUGCAAUUUGAGCUGAAGCAGGCAGGAGCUCUGGCAGAAGAAGAGGCCUCCCGAGGGGCUUGGAGGUAAACAGCGGAGCCACCAAGGACAGUGUGCAGGAAUCAGAGUGAUGUUCUCUUUCAUGGGAAGAGGAAGCCAUACAACAACUACACCAGGGCAGAGCCCUCCAUGGGAGACAACAGCCUGUAAACUGCUGGGACUACCAGAGAACACCACAAACACCAGGAACCACCGGAAGGAGCCCACCAGCUGCAGAAAGGCAGCAAGAGGAUCAAAAGAGCAACGUCCCAGGCCGAGUCUGUGCCCUCCCUGCAUAUGCAUGAAGCCCACAUCGCCUUUCAGGACUUUGUGCAGAAGUCCAAGAAGCACAAAGCUGCAAAGAAGUGCUGCCGCCUACAUGCUGCCCCAGUUUCCCCAGGCGAAGGGUGAUGAUCUGGUGAAGCCACUGAAUCCCUGCCAGCAGGGAUUUGGAUCCAGAAGCAGGCAAGAGCAUCAGAGCAGCUGUGCUGCUCUGGAUCAAAGCCCACCAUCCGAUGGCCCGUCACUGGCAGCUGGUGGAAGCGAGUGCCCAGGGAGGAGAGCAAAAAGCGGGAUCUUUCCUCAGAGCCAAAAGGCUGUAACCAGAUAA